UAACGAAAAUAAACUCAUAUUUUUUUCUUUAUUCAUUUACGAAAUGUAUACAUACGUUUUGUGUAAUAAGCGUAAGUAAUAUUUAAAGAAAAGAGUAUACCAUUGAAUAAGAUUUUAAUAAAUCGCCCACUCUAGUCAACAUUCCAAGCUACUAUGGAUAGUGUUUUAGAUAAAAAGGAUAACCUCUGCGGGGAGUGACUACAGUUUCAAAAUCUUAGAUGAAUUGUUUGGAAUUGAUUGAGAUACAUUGUUUGUGAUGACCACCUACAUAAUUUAAAUAUAUAAAAGCACACACACACACAUACACGUCCACACGAACGCGCAUACGCACACACAAUUCAAAGUCUCCGGAGAAGAGGCGGAUGACCUCAAAUCGUGACUUGAUUCUCUCAUUAGGGCUACGCCGCAUCGUAUAGUUCACGGCCGACGACAACGACGACGACUGCACCAAGAAGAGACGCGGCUAAAAUACGACCGACCUGACGCCGCGCACCCAAACAGAUAAUACGACUCGUAAUAUUAUGCGAUUGGAGAUAACACAAUAAUAUUAUUUAGAGGUACAAACUGCUUUGAUAAAAUUACAAUAUAAUAUGAGUCUUGGUCAUCGUCGUCGGUUGACAUAAUAAGUAGCUUUCUCAUAUCGCCGCGUUUCGGUCAUAAUAUUUUCAAUGAUCUGUUUCGGAAACAUCAAACGGAUAAAACAUAUUUUUUUAACUCCCGCUCCUUCAACUAUUUACAAAAAUAUCACCAUAAACUUAUAAUGAGAUUUAUAAUAUAUAAUCUCUUA
Molecule: long non-coding RNA, 787 nt
Organism: Aphis gossypii (cotton aphid)
Lineage: Eukaryota; Metazoa; Arthropoda; Insecta; Hemiptera; Aphididae
Exons: 3
Source: RefSeq, a predicted model, not a curated record